GCUAGCGGCAGCUUAACACAUGCAAGUCGAACGGUAACUCUUGGUGCUUGCACCAAAAGACGAGUGGCGGACGGGUGCGUAACGCGUAUGCAAUCUACCUUUUACUAGGGUAUAGCCCAGAGAAAUUUGGAUUAAUCCCCUAUAAUAUCAUGAAAUCGCAUGGUUUUAUGAUUAAAGCUUCGGUGGUAAAAGAUGAGCAUGCGUCCUAUUAGUUUGUAGGUGAGGUAACGGCUCACCUAGACUACGAUAGGUAGGGGCCCUGAGAGGGGGAUCCCCCACACUGGUACUGAGACACGGACCAGACUCCUACGGGAGGCAGCAGUGAGGAAUAUUGGACAAUGGACGAAAGUCUGAUCCAGCUAUGCCGCGUGCAGGAUGACAGCCCUACGGGUUGUAAACUGCUUUUAUACAGGAAGAAAAUCUCCGACGUGUCGGGGCUUGACGGUACUGUAAGAAUAAGGAUCGGCUAACUCCGUGCCAGCAGCCGCGGUAAUACGGAGGAUCCAAGCGUUAUCCGGAAUUAUUGGGUUUAAAGGGUCCGCAGGCGGUUUUUUAAGUCAGAGGUGAAAUCCUACAGCUCAACUGUAGAAUUGCCUUUGAAACUGAAAGACUUGAGUUAUUGUGAAGUGGUUAGAAUGUGUGGUGUAGCGGUGAAAUGCAUAGAUAUCACACAGAAUACCAAUUGCGAAGGCAGAUCACUAACAAUUAACUGACGCUCAGGGACGAAAGCGUGGGUAGCGAACAGGAUUAGAUACCCUGGUAGUCCACGCCGUAAACGAUGGAUACUAGCUGUAUGUCUACCUCAGGUAGAUGUGUGGCCAAGCGAAAGUGAUAAGUAUCCCACC
This 845-nucleotide ribosomal RNA is filed under the name uncultured Flavobacteriaceae bacterium. Its description in RNAcentral is "bacterial SSU rRNA". It matches the Rfam family "Bacterial small subunit ribosomal RNA", at positions 35 to 873 of the family's 1533-position model. The record is from RNAcentral. Lineage: Bacteria; Pseudomonadati; Bacteroidota; Flavobacteriia; Flavobacteriales; Flavobacteriaceae.